CCGAGAGCACCGUCGCCUGUAAGUUUCAGUUUUUUGUAUUUUUUGGCCCACUGAGGGCCCUAGGGUUGUUUUAUCGCAAGGACCAAUGCAAGUGUGGCCGAAUUCGACCGAAAAUGGCCGAAAAUGGCCAACCCAAGGCGAAUCGCCGCCGCAAGUGGCAGCGCCAUCGCCGGAGCACGGCGGAGCCGUCGUGCCGGAAUUUUGAUAUUGGCCGAAAGGGGCCCUAGGUCUGAUUUGGGAUUUUUUGGGACAUGUGCAGGUACCGGUAGUGCGUUUCAGUUUUCCAGAAAAAAUUCAGGAAAAUUAGGGACAGCCUGUAGGC
This 322-nucleotide long non-coding RNA is filed under the name Carica papaya (papaya). RNAcentral's name for it is "long non-coding RNA (CPAP_LNC014960)". Lineage: Eukaryota; Viridiplantae; Streptophyta; Magnoliopsida; Brassicales; Caricaceae. The record is from RNAcentral.